AGUGACGAUAGCCUAGGAGAUACACCUGUACCCAUGCCGAACACAGCAGUUAAGCCCUAGAACGCCUGAUGUAGUUGGGGGUUGCCCCCUGUUAGAUAUGGUAGUCGCUUAGCU
RNAcentral lists this ribosomal RNA (114 nucleotides) under Streptococcus pyogenes. Lineage: Bacteria; Bacillati; Bacillota; Bacilli; Lactobacillales; Streptococcaceae. The record is from RNAcentral.